Molecule: long non-coding RNA, 330 nt
Organism: Cornus florida
Lineage: Eukaryota; Viridiplantae; Streptophyta; Magnoliopsida; Cornales; Cornaceae
Exons: 2
Source: RefSeq, a predicted model, not a curated record
UUUAUGCAUAUUAGUGGUUGACUGAAAGAAGAAAGAAAGGAAAGGAAAAUAUGAAAAUAGAAUGGAUUGAUCGGUGUUGCUCCAACUCUUCUUCUUUAUCAGUGCUUGUGUCUCUGUUUUUGUUCCUCUUCUCUGCUGCUUCUGCUUCCACUUACAUAUCAGGAGUGAGAUGAUAUUUUUGGGUCUCACUCUUCCACCGGCCGGAACCUGCUUCAGGGCAAAGGUUUAUUUUCUUUUCAAUUACAGCCGCUUCUACACAAUUUAUAUGUAUAAUUGAAAUUAUUUGUGGGUUCAGUUAUAAUGCAUUAAUCUUCCAGAUUCAUGAGCUCA